UGAGAGUCUGAAAUCCUGGAAUUUCUCCCA
RNAcentral lists this non-coding RNA (30 nucleotides) under Homo sapiens (human). The record is from RNAcentral. Lineage: Eukaryota; Metazoa; Chordata; Mammalia; Primates; Hominidae.